Molecule: ribosomal RNA, 496 nt
Filed under: uncultured bacterium
Lineage: Bacteria
Description: bacterial SSU rRNA
Rfam family: Bacterial small subunit ribosomal RNA
Source: RNAcentral
GAGUUUGAUCGUGGCUCAGGAUGAACGCUAGCGGCAGGCUUAAUACAUGCAAGUCGAGGGGCAGCGGGGUAGCAAUACUGCCGGCGACCGGCAAACGGGGUGCGGAACACGUACAGAACCUUCCUUUAAGCGGGGGAUAGCCCAUAGAAAUGUGGAUUAAUACCCCAUAGCAUUAUUGAGUGGCAUCAUUUAAUAAUUAAAGAUUUAUCACUUAAAGAUGGCUGUGCGGCUGAUUAGGUAGUUGGUGCGGGUAACGGCCUACCAAGCCAUCGAUCAGUAACUGGUGUGAGAGCACGACCAGUCACACGGGCACUGAGACACGGGCCCGACUCCUACGGGAGGCAGCAGUAAGGAAUAUUGGUCAAUGGACGCAAGUCUGAACCAGCCAUGCCGCGUGAAGGAUGAAGGCCCUCUGGGUUGUAAAACUUCUUUUAUCUGGGAAGAAAUGCCUGUUUUUUAACGGUUUGACGGUACCAGAGGAAUAAAGCACCGGACU